UACGUAGGGAGCAAGCGUUGUCCGGAAUCAUUGGGCGUAAAGCGCGCGUAGGUGGCCACAUAAGUCCGUUGUGAAAGUCAAAGGCUCAACCUUUGAAAGCCGAUGGAUACUGUGUGGCUAGAGUACGGAAGAGGCGAGUGGAAUUCCUGGUGUAGCGGUGGAAUGCGCAGAUAUCAGGAGGAACACCAAUAGCGAAGGCAGCUCGCUGGGACGGUACUGACACUGAGACGCGAAAGCGUGGGGAGCGAACAGG
This 253-nucleotide ribosomal RNA is filed under the name uncultured bacterium. RNAcentral describes it as "partial 16S ribosomal RNA". It matches the Rfam family "Bacterial small subunit ribosomal RNA", at positions 524 to 776 of the family's 1533-position model. The record is from RNAcentral.